This 394-nucleotide ribosomal RNA is filed under the name Acrorrhinium inexpectatum. Its description in RNAcentral is "partial large subunit ribosomal RNA". It matches the Rfam family "Eukaryotic large subunit ribosomal RNA", at positions 763 to 1138 of the family's 3401-position model. The record is from RNAcentral. Lineage: Eukaryota; Metazoa; Arthropoda; Insecta; Hemiptera; Miridae.
GGGCGUCUCUAUCUCAUUGCGAGAGGAGGCGCACCUAGAGCGUACACGCUGAUACCCGAAAGAUGGUGAACUAUGCCUGGCCAGGACGAAGCCAGGGGAAACCCUGGUGGAGGUCCGCAGCGAUUCUGACGUGCAAAUCGAUCGUCGGAGCUGGGUUUAGGGGCGAAAGACCAAUCGAACCAUCUAGUAGCUGGUUCCCUCCGAAGUUUCCCUCAGGAUAGCUUGCGCUCGGGCGAGACGAGUCUCAUCCGGUAGAGCGAAUGAUUAGAGGCCUUGGGGUCGAAACGACCUCAACCUAUUCUCAAACUCCAAAUAGAUGAGAACCCCGGCUUUCUUGAACCUUGUGUGAUUGAAGCCGUGGGAUUCGGAUCAGAGUGCCAAGUGGGCCAAUUUU